RNAcentral lists this RNase P RNA (409 nucleotides) under Paenibacillus anaericanus. Its description in RNAcentral is "RNase P class A". It matches the Rfam family "Bacterial RNase P class A". From Rfam's summary of the family: Ribonuclease P (RNase P) is a ubiquitous endoribonuclease, found in archaea, bacteria and eukarya as well as chloroplasts and mitochondria. Its best characterised activity is the generation of mature 5'-ends of tRNAs by cleaving the 5'-leader elements of precursor-tRNAs. Lineage: Bacteria; Bacillati; Bacillota; Bacilli; Caryophanales; Paenibacillaceae. The record is from RNAcentral.
AAAGUUUGACAGACAAUCGCCGGUGGUUUAUGCCACGGGAGGAAAGUCCGGGCUCCGUAGGGCAGGGUGCUGGAUAAUGUCCAGUCGGCGCGAGCUGAAGGAUAGUGCCACAGAAAUGGACCGCCGAUGGCUUCCGCAAGGGAGCACAGGUAAGGAUGGAACCGAGGUGUAAGAGACCCCGAGGAACGCUGGUGACUUCGUUCCUGGUAAACCCCACUUGGAGCAAGACCUAAUGGGACGCAGUUUCUUCUUAUGGAAGAGACAACCUUUGCCCGAGGCGCGUCUGGGUUGGUCGCUGGAGCCGUCCAGUAAUGUACGGCCUAGAUAGAUGAUUGUCACUCAUGGCGGGAGGGUAGUUCCCGUUCAAACCGCGAAGAGUACAGAACCCGGCUUACGGCAAACUUUCAUC